This 247-nucleotide ribosomal RNA is filed under the name uncultured bacterium. Its description in RNAcentral is "partial 16S ribosomal RNA". It matches the Rfam family "Bacterial small subunit ribosomal RNA", at positions 530 to 776 of the family's 1533-position model. The record is from RNAcentral.
GGGAGCUAGCGUUGUUCGGAAUUACUGGGCGUAAAGCGCGCGUAGGCGGCUUUGUAAGUUAGAGGUGAAAGCCCGGAGCUCAACUCCGGAACUGCCUUUAAAACUGCAUCGCUUGAAUCCAGGAGAGGUGAGUGGAAUUCCGAGUGUAGAGGUGAAAUUCGUAGAUAUUCGGAAGAACACCAGUGGCGAAGGCGGCUCACUGGACUGGUAUUGACGCUGAGGUGCGAAAGCGUGGGGAGCAAACAGG